This is a long non-coding RNA of Salarias fasciatus (jewelled blenny), 769 nucleotides long. RefSeq lists it as uncharacterized. The transcript is spliced from 2 exons. Lineage: Eukaryota; Metazoa; Chordata; Actinopteri; Blenniiformes; Blenniidae. The record is from RefSeq and is a predicted model, not a curated record.
GGCCUCGUCUUCCUCUCCUACAUCAUCUACAUGCUGUGAUGGCGAAGAGGCGGGCGUUUGUUUUGCCCCCCGGCGCAUCCCCGGUGUCCGUGGAGGAGGAGGACGGGAGGAGAGGCUCGUCCAGGCCCUGAGGAUGAGGAUGGCGACGGCUCCCCCCACCGGGGCUCUCAGGUGGGACGUUGAGCAGGAUCCAACCAGGAGGAGGAGAAACAAAAACGGAGAGGAUGAACUGAAAGCCGGACUUGUCCCUCCUCUCCCCCCCAAACACUUACACUUAAUUUAACUGCCCUCUUUUGGAUCAGUGCCAUCUGGCCCCGUCCUCCAGCAUCCCCUGUAUCCUCCAUCAUCCUGAACAAGAGGGGCAGUAUUACCUCUGCACAAGUGAAUACUCGGUCUGCCUUUUUGAUACAACACUGUGAGAUGAUAAUGAUAAUCAUGAUUUGUUCUGACUCUGAUUCGCUGUGUCCAGUUUGACAGUGUUAUCCUCAUCCUGUUGUUGUCACUGACGCCUUGCUUGGCAACGGCAGUGUUUAUUUUAUUUCCGUUGCAUUGCCAAUCUUAUCUUCUCUCCCGUUUUCAUCUGUUUCUGUCUUAAUUUAAGCUGCAGAUGACCUGCAUGAAGGAACAUGUGUGUGCGUGCGUGCGUGUUUCUCAGUUUUAGCACAAAAGCUCAUUUAUAUGAUGUGUUGUGUUGAAAUGCUGUCAUGUUUCCUGAUGGUUGUUUGGAGAAAUGGUUUCACACGACAUGCUGAAUAAAGAUGAUUCCAGU